GGAAAGAGUUUGGUGAAGGACCCUUUUGGGCAAGAGUGAUGCGAGUCCUUGAGGGUUCGUGUCCUGCUGACCUGGGCCGGACAUGGCACCCUCCAUCAGAAAUUUUUCUGUGUCAUGAACUGUUCUGAGAACCCUGAAGCCAAAUAUUUCUACCUCAGUUUAAUGAGUGUAGAAGGACCGAGUGUUUUCGAGAACAAAGGAGUCUACAUUCACACUCCCCCAGUCUCAUUAGCACACAAAGAUGAGAUGUCUGAUCACGGGCUAAUGAAGUUACUCCCCGGCCACGGUCAUUUAUGUUCUCACCCGGGGCUUCUAGGGACACAAGGCCCAGGAACAAGGACAGUUCAGAAUUUUUGCAGAGUCAAUACCACACCGGUCUCCAGAUGAAAUGCUGGAUCCUCUUGCCUGGUGUCCCGCUGCCUGGCGCUCACCCUGCCCUGGACCGCGGUGCAGCCUCCGCAUCUGGGAGGAAAAAACUGCGGCGGGCAGGCGAGCCGGGGCGGGGACCGCGCCGCGGUGGCUGCUCUGCGGCUCGGAACGGGGCCCAGGCUCGGGCCUUACCAGGGCCCCAGCCCCGCCGCGCUCCUCCCCUCCCCCUCCCUCAAUCCCACCUCGAGUCCCGCGCCCUUAAAGGAAGUCCAUGGCUUUGCCCGGUCACCAACAGGGUGUCGGCCGGCCCCUUCUGUGCUACGGUGCGGCCGACUUGGGCUCUUCAGGACACCGCCACGUCCUCUGGGUGGGCGCCCGUCGCCUCCUCCCCGGGGUUGACCCCACGGGUCUCCGGGCGAUUCUUCCCUAGUCUUUCCAGCCCGUGGGCGGCGGCGGCGGCGGCGGCGGCGCGGAGUGUCGCGGAGCUGUCCCCGCAGAGCCCUCCCGGGGCGGCGAUCCGGUCCCCGCGCCGCCUCCGGCGUCUCCCCAGCCUGGCCUCCGCCGAGCCGGCUGCGGUCCACGUGGCUCCGGAGCUCGCAGGAAGCCCCGAGCGAGCCGAAAGCCGAGCCGAGAGCGGGCGGAGGGGGCGCGGGAGGGGGGGGGGGGAGCGGGCCCGGGGGGCGGGCACUGGGCGGAGGAAGGGGAGGGCCGCGCGCAGCCCAGGCGCCCGCCCCGCUCCGGCGCGCCCCGCUCCCGGCCCCGGCCGGCCAGGGAAGCGGCCCCUCCCCGGCCGCCCGCCGGCCCCUCCCGUUACACCCGGGGGAAGGUGUUCCCGAGACCGCUCCCAUCCUCACCCCGCCUCCCCGCUUCCCCGGCUCCAGCCUCCGCCGGCGGAGCUCCACUAUGCCAGACAGUUUCGACACUUUGCAAAGACAAAGACCAGAGGGAGGAGGAAGAGGAGGACAGGGAGGGCGAGGAGGAGGAGGGAGAGGAGGACGGCGCGAUGUGAGCCGGGAAGGGGGCCAGUGCUCGGGACAACCCCCCCUUUAGUCUCCCCGGAGCCCCUCAUCUCCAAAGCCGCCGAAACUCCAGCGUGUCUCCGGCUGCGUUGGGACCGUUUUCAGACUCCACCUUUCUGA
RNAcentral lists this long non-coding RNA (1508 nucleotides) under Felis catus (domestic cat). RNAcentral's name for it is "lncRNA (ENSFCAG00000051147.1)". Lineage: Eukaryota; Metazoa; Chordata; Mammalia; Carnivora; Felidae. The record is from RNAcentral.